This 555-nucleotide ribosomal RNA is filed under the name uncultured bacterium. RNAcentral describes it as "bacterial SSU rRNA". It matches the Rfam family "Bacterial small subunit ribosomal RNA", at positions 339 to 916 of the family's 1533-position model. The record is from RNAcentral.
CUACGGGAGGCAGCAGGGGGGAAUUUUCCACAAUGGGCGAAAGCCUGAUGGAGCAAUACCGCGUGAGGGAUGAAGUAUCGUGGUACGUAAACCUCUUUUCUUGACGAAGAAGCUCUGACGGUAGUUAAGGAAUAAGCACCGGCUAACUCCGUGCCAGCAGCCGCGGUAAUACGGGGGGUGCAAGCGUUGUCCGGAAUGAUUGGGCGUAAAGCAUCUGUAGGUGGUUCUUAAAGUCGACUGUUAAAGCCCAGGGCUCAACUUUGGAUAAGCGGUCGAGUACUUAAGAACUUGAGUAUGGUAGGGGUAGAGGGAAUUCCUAGUGGAGCGGUGAAAUGCACAGAGAUUAGGAAGAACACCAAAGGCGAAGGCACUCUACUGGGCCAUGACUGACACUGAGAGAUGAAAGUCGGGGGAGCGAAAAGGAUUAGAUACCCUUGUAGUCCCGACCGUAAACGAUGGAUACUAAGUGCUGACAACAUCAGUGCCGUAGCAAACGCGUGAAGUAUCCCGCCUGGGGAGUAUGCUCGCAAGAGUGAAACUCAAAGGAAUUGACGG